Molecule: ribosomal RNA, 497 nt
Filed under: uncultured bacterium
Lineage: Bacteria
Description: partial 16S ribosomal RNA
Rfam family: Bacterial small subunit ribosomal RNA
Source: RNAcentral
GAUGAACGCUGGCGGCGUGCCCAAUACAUGCAAGUCGAGCGAACAGAUGAGGAGCUUGCUCCUCUGACGUUAGCGGCGGACGGGUGAGUAACACGUGGAUAACCUACCUAUAAGACUGGGAUAACUUCGGGAAACCGGAGCUAAUACCGGAUAAUAUAUUGAACCGCAUGGUUCAAUAGUGAAAGACGGUUUUGCUGUCACUUAUAGAUGGAUCCGCGCCGCAUUAGCUAGUUGGUAAGGUAACGGCUUACCAAGGCAACGAUGCGUAGCCGACCUGAGAGGGUGAUCGGCCACACUGGAACUGAGACACGGUCCAGACUCCUACGGGAGGCAGCAGUAGGGAAUCUUCCGCAAUGGGCGAAAGCCUGACGGAGCAACGCCGCGUGAGUGAUGAAGGUCUUCGGAUCGUAAAACUCUGUUAUUAGGAAAGAACAAAUGUGUAAGUAACUAUGCACGUCUUGACGGUACCUAAUCAGAAAGCCACGGCUAACUACGUG